This is a long non-coding RNA of Motacilla alba alba, 584 nucleotides long. RefSeq lists it as uncharacterized. The record is from RefSeq and is a predicted model, not a curated record. The transcript has 3 exons. NCBI's taxonomy places the organism in Eukaryota, Metazoa, Chordata, Aves, Passeriformes, Motacillidae.
CGAUUUCAUCCCAAGCAGGCAGUACACCUCCUGCUCCUUCUGCUUCUGCUGCUGAUGAAGCAUUUUGGCUUUUCUUCGUACCCCAAGGACCCAUUACACCUCGUACUCCUGAUCCUGAUGUACGGCAGAGAGUGCCUAGACACAGAGCCUAUACUGUGCCUGGAACCAACGUAGCCUCCAUUGUGAUACCAGCCAGACCCUACAGUGUUCUGACACCAACAUACCCGCCAGCAUGAUACCAGGCAGAACAGGUUUUGGGUCAUCAAUGGAACCAGCCAUCAACCUGAUACCAACCAGAACCAAUAUUGGGUCAUCCAUGGAUGCAUCCUCCCAUUUGAGACAAAGCUCUUACUGUGCCUUCAAGCAACAUGCCCGCCCGUCUGAAAGGAAACAGAGCUGGCACUGGGUUUUCAGUCAACCCAUCCUUCUGUUUCUGACCAUGCAGAGCCAGUUCUUUGCCUUCAGUAGAUCCUUUCAGCCGGGAUGUGUUACCCAGCACCAGAAGAAAUCAGGAAAUUUAAUUAUCAGAUGUGACGGAGUUCUUCAUCAAAAUACUAGCUUCUCUUCGGAAGGAAAAAGAUCUA